UUUAUGGAGAGUUUGAUCCUGGCUCAGGAUGAACGCUGGCGGCGUGCCUAAUACAUGCAAGUCGAGCGAACGGACGAGAAGCUUGCUUCUCUGAUGUUAGCGGCGGACGGGUGAGUAACACGUGGAUAACCUACCUAUAAGACUGGGAUAACUUCGGGAAACCGGAGCUAAUACCGGAUAAUAUUUUGAACCGCAUGGUUCAAAAGUGAAAGACGGUCUUGCUGUCACUUAUAGAUGGAUCCGCGCUGCAUUAGCUAGUUGGUAAGGUAACGGCUUACCAAGGCAACGAUGCAUAGCCGACCUGAGAGGGUGAUCGGCCACACUGGAACUGAGACACGGUCCAGACUCCUACGGGAGGCAGCAGUAGGGAAUCUUCCGCAAUGGGCGAAAGCCUGACGGAGCAACGCCGCGUGAGUGAUGAAGGUCUUCGGAUCGUAAAACUCUGUUAUUAGGGAAGAACAUAUGUGUAAGUAACUGUGCACAUCUUGACGGUACCUAAUCAGAAAGCCACGGCUAACUACGUGCCAGCAGCCGCGGUAAUACGUAGGUGGCAAGCGUUAUCCGGAAUUAUUGGGCGUAAAGCGCGCGUAGGCGGUUUUUUAAGUCUGAUGUGAAAGCCCACGGCUCAACCGUGGAGGGUCAUUGGAAACUGGAAAACUUGAGUGCAGAAGAGGAAAGUGGAAUUCCAUGUGUAGCGGUGAAAUGCGCAGAGAUAUGGAGGAACACCAGUGGCGAAGGCGACUUUCUGGUCUGUAACUGACGCUGAUGUGCGAAAGCGUGGGGAUCAAACAGGAUUAGAUACCCUGGUAGUCCACGCCGUAAACGAUGAGUGCUAAGUGUUAGGGGGUUUCCGCCCCUUAGUGCUGCAGCUAACGCAUUAAGCACUCCGCCUGGGGAGUACGACCGCAAGGUUGA
RNAcentral lists this ribosomal RNA (915 nucleotides) under Staphylococcus aureus. RNAcentral's name for it is "bacterial SSU rRNA". It matches the Rfam family "Bacterial small subunit ribosomal RNA", at positions 1 to 897 of the family's 1533-position model. Lineage: Bacteria; Bacillati; Bacillota; Bacilli; Caryophanales; Staphylococcaceae. The record is from RNAcentral.